CUCACUCACUCACUCACUCACUCCUGAUUUUCAUAGAAAUGUAUGACUGGUGUUAUACAUGAUGUAAGGCAUGUAACCUGCAGGUUGUGUGUUGUUGUGUGAGUACCCGCUGCUCAGAGCGGUUAUCCUGUCUGUAUCAUACCUGCGAUGGUGGUUUCAACAAAGUCGUAAAUGUCCAAGACCUGCAUUACUUUCGACUUCCGUCUCACGUCAAGCUUACACCCUCAUAUGGUUUGUGUACAGUUCAAAGUGGAAUUAAACCUAGCCUCACUCACACACUCACACUCAAGCUCAUCAUUAUCCUGUGCAGAAUCAACCUGAAUUCAUUGGUGUAGCUUGAAACACUACACAGCAUAUGUUUGCAUUUUCAGGUGCUGGAGGGGUAUAGUGCUUAUAUGCCCCUGAAAUAUGGAUGAUGAUUGACAUGACUUGUUACCCUUGUAAAUAUGGCUCUGCAGAGUGUCUGAUUAACAGCUGUUUCAUGUUGCUCUGAAUGUCAUCAUGAUCAGACAAAGUUUUGGAUGUGAUGAUAAAUUUUUAUUCAAAUGCUAGGGAUUAUUGUUCUGAUGGUUGUAAAUUUGCGAAUCUUGUAUUUAGUUACAAGUUGUUUUGAAAUGUUUUUGUAACCAUGGCAACGAAAUGAAUUGUUUUGUUAAUUUUAAUUUGUGUAGUUUAUUUUGUAUUUGUUAUGGUUCUCAUGUGUUAUUUUCUAUGUUGUUCAUGUAGAAACCAUUUGUUGUUGUAAGUUUGAUUCCUAUUGUUUUGCAAUUGGCAUGGAAGUGUUUUCAUCUGAUAUUGUUACUGGUUUGAGAUGUUUGUCUCCGUGACAUCAGACACAGCACAGGUUAGGGUCGGGGAUCAGGGGUCCCCAACAACAUCACUGAGAAGGUAGAUUCAUCACUAAGCAUGCAUGUAUCUUACAUCGCAUUACGUGGUUACCAAGGAAACAGACAUAUCAGCUUGAUCCAAAACAUGAAUAUGCAAAUAUCAGUUUUAUCCAGUGUGAAGAGUUCAGAUUGUGUAUCACUGUGGAAAAUGGCUGGGCUUUGGACAGUGAGUUUUAUAUAAUUAUAGGGAACCUUACCUUAUUCAGGUUACCAUCUUCUGUUUUGAAUGACACAUGCAUGAAAAGCUAUUAAGAUUUUUAACUGUUUAAGUAAUUUGUUCAUUGUUCCCGAUACAUAAACUGUAUUUAUUAAACUUGUUUCGAUGACUUACAAAAUCUAAAAGGUAUUUUCAUCCACCCAUUUGAUCCUAAUAAUGUUUAUAAGGUCCAAAAAGUGUCCAACUGGUAUUUUCAGAAUAUGUAUAACUCAUGUUAGGUGCUGACUAGCUCAGUAAUAUGGUUCAAGAAUAUUUUCCUCUAUCAUCAUCACAUUUUAAGAUGCAGGAUAAUAUUUGGGUUGAAGUUGAAUGGCUGCUAGUUACAAAAGACUUGUGAGUCCCAUACAAUACACUUCCUUCUGAGAGGGGAGGAGUUUGAGCUGUUUCUUUGUAGAGUCGUGGUAAUUAUAACACAGGGUCUGGAGCACAGGUUGUGUUACCACAGGUAUGGGAGCAUAGGUCAUUGUAGUACAGGUUGUACCACAGGUAUGGGAGCAUUGGUCAUUGUAGCACAGGUUGUCUUACCACAGGUAUGGGAGCAUUGGUCAUUGUAGCACAGGUUGUACCACAGGUAUGGGACCAUUGGUCAUUGUAGCACAGGUUGUUCCACACAGGUACUGCCUCAUGCACAGGUACAAUGCAUUGCGUGUGUUGCGAGUCACCUGUGUUUGCCUAUUAAUGCACAGUUGUUAGAAGUGCCACAGCUCAAUGUACAUACCGGUACUACUGGAUGUCCCACCAUGACAGGUGUCUAAUGUAUUCAUGUUGUGCAAUGAUUGGUAAUGUGAGAUUGGCCAACAGCUUUUGUGUAAUCGACAUUGUAUAUUGGUAUAAUUGUUGUGUGAUGUUAAAGGACUUAUGUGAAGAUAAAUUAGUAAUACAAUGCCUAUGUGAACAGUGCUUUUUAAUGAAAGGAUUAUUGUUUUGUGCCGAUGAAAUCAUUUUUAUACCAAAUGAAAGUAAAGAUAUACAUGUUUUUGCAUUGUAUUGAACUACUACAAAGAAACCUGAAUUUAAAAAAAUAAUAUUAUAGUUAAUAGUAAUGAACAGUAUUUGCAAUAAUAUUGGAUAUUGUUAUGAUGAUGCUUUAAAGAGAUUGAUAUGUUGGGGAACAAAUACUUCCAUGGUAGCCAUUUUGAAAUGUAAUUGCAUCUGAACAUUUGCAUUGUUGAAGUGUUUUGGCUGAGGAUGUAUUCAUGCACACCGAGGGAUGACCCAGUAAUCUAUAUGUUAUCGACAAUGUGUUGUGAAGAGUUAUGUCCCUUGUCAAUACCAGGAUCUGUACUUUUGUGCUUGAACAUGAUCUGUUUGCACCGUAUCUAUGCCGUGCUGUGGGUUGCACCAAAGUGGAGGAGACAGAAGACGUGAAAGAGUUUAGCUUAUUCUCCCACAUAACCUGCCACUCUGUGAUAUGACAGAUAUACUGAUAGUAGUGUUAAUCCCAACUCAACGAAGGUUUCAUAUGUUAGUUGGGUGAUUUUUCAGCAACCAACCAAUGAUGACAGAGCAGAAUUCAGUAUGUUCUAUCAAAUAGGGGCAAGAUUAUAUCAUCAAGUGAAUGUAAGACCCAUCUGGAAUUGAAGUCAAAGGUAUUUUUCUAGAAACAUGUUUCAGCCAUCGUAUUGUGUUGUCGACACUGAUAAGGCCAAAAUAAUUCAGUCGUAAGUUU
This 2773-nucleotide long non-coding RNA is filed under the name Haliotis rubra (blacklip abalone). Its description in RNAcentral is "uncharacterized LOC124261357". The record is from RNAcentral. Lineage: Eukaryota; Metazoa; Mollusca; Gastropoda; Lepetellida; Haliotidae.